This is a non-coding RNA of Camelina sativa (false flax), 1540 nucleotides long. The record is from RefSeq and is a predicted model, not a curated record. Lineage: Eukaryota; Viridiplantae; Streptophyta; Magnoliopsida; Brassicales; Brassicaceae.
GGGCCAAGAAAACCUUAAAAUAGAUUAUGGUAUUGGUAGGGUAGCCGCCGGAAGUAAAACCCUAAUCUUCAGAUGAGUUUCUUUUUUGUGUUUCUGUGUUGUGUAUUUAUAUGGUUUUUAGUGACGAUCGUCUUCAUCAAUUCAUAGGAUCUUUCUCUCAUUUCUCUUUGUCUGUUUGCUGUAGUUGUUUGGUUUUUAGGGUUUAUUGAAAGAGGUUAGUGAUGUUUUUGAAUGGGUGUGGGAAAGGGGUAAGGAUGAUAUGGUGAUGACAAAAGUGUAUUUUAUGGACUAGAGUUUCAGAUCUGGGAUUCUUCUCCCAGUAGUUGAAGAUUAACCCUUGGCUGUCUGAAUAUUAUCAAACCCCCUUCUUUCAUUCCAGUAUCUUGUCUUUUUUUUUUUAAAUCCAUUAUUGAAUACAGUUCUGUUUUGAAGGUUUAUGGAUUGGAUUGGAUGUGUUUAUUCAUGUUUUUGUUUGGGGUAUGAAAAAGCUUAUGAUGAUAAAAAACAAUUAUCUUAGCGGAUUUCAGUGAGGUUCUUUGAAUCUGUGAUCUGAAUUUGUUACACACACUGAGGCUUUGUAUUUCUUACCAUGUUUUUGUUUUGGUUUGGUUGGAUUGUUGAUAUGAUUGUUUUGAUGGUGAUGCAAUGAUGAGAGAAAAGCACGAAGAGUGUGAGAAGAGCAGUGGGUUAUACCGCGUCCAUUACCAAUUCUGAGGGAUAAAUACAAUUCCUUCAGGUAUAAUGGCUUGUGACGCUAUAGUUGUUGUGGUAUAUCCUGAUCAUCUUGCCUUUUCCUCUGCUUUUUGAUCCUGGAAAUGCCUCGUAUAUUUUAUAUCAGUCACAUUGGACUUUGUUUUCCCUUUUUGUUUAUCCCGGAAGGGGAUGCGUUAUUAAAUCAUAAAAAUGAGUAAUUUGAUUGUGGGCAGAUGGUAGUGGCCCUGUUCUUUUUCGUGUUGCUGGAUCAGCGACUGCGACACGUUAAAACGACAACAAUAUCAAAAAUCAAAACGACAACGGCAGUGGCAAGGUGAUGACGCGGACGUGUUUAUUAGAGAGAGAAAAAGUGUCGCGGGGGAGAGAGAAGAAUCGCCGGAUUUUCCAGCGACUGUUGCGACAUCUCAUUUCAACAACACAGCGACUCUUGUUUACAACGGCAGCGAUGCUUCUUCAUAACAAUGACGAUUUUCCUUGUUUAUUUUUCUGUCGCAGUCACUCCUCCAGCGACUUGAAAAAGAACAGGGCUAGUAUCAGUUUUUUUACUCUGCUGAAUUAUUGAAUAGCUUCUACUGACAGUCAAUUGUCAUAUGGCUACUUGCAGCCAAAGGCAUGUGCUAGUUCAAGAGUUCAAAAGAUGUUAUCCUUCUGGUUGAACAACAUUGCGGGAUAUAACAUAGUUGUGGUGACCAAAAUAGACCUGAGAUCGAUGAGAGAGACCAUUGUUUUUAGAGAAUCUUUCGUCGAAGUUGUCUUUCUUGCAGUUAUAUAUAACGCUUUAAUGAUGCAAAAGCAUUAAUGGAAUUCAAUGCGAGUUACUACUUCA